RNAcentral lists this RNase MRP RNA (237 nucleotides) under Cyprinodon variegatus (sheepshead minnow). Its description in RNAcentral is "RNase MRP (ENSCVAG00000015485.1)". It matches the Rfam family "RNase MRP". From Rfam's summary of the family: RNase MRP is an enzymatically active ribonucleoprotein with two distinct roles in eukaryotes. In mitochondria it plays a direct role in the initiation of mitochondrial DNA replication. Lineage: Eukaryota; Metazoa; Chordata; Actinopteri; Cyprinodontiformes; Cyprinodontidae. The record is from Rfam by way of RNAcentral.
AGGUUUGCUCUCUGGGCUACAAACAGAGUAUUUGAUUUCUCAUAACUUUGCCCAUGGUAAAGUCCCCGGAACCAUGGUAGAAAGUGCUCUGGUUGAAACCAGUGUUGACUUGCAUUAAUCUAGCAGCGGCUAAGACAUUCAUGUGAACAGAGCCCUGAAAUCGCUUGUCGACUUUGUCAGAGUUAAUAGUAAUGCAAACGUUCUGCAUGUAACUCUUCAAUAGAACAGGGCCUAUUC